ACUGUGUUGGUUGUACAAGAUCAAGACAGAAAUAUGUAUUUUUAGUUGACAAAUUCGUAUAUAUUUAUCAGGUACAAUAUGAUGUUUUGAAAACAUCAUAUAAUGAAAUAUAUAUUGUGGAAUGGCCAAAUCAAGCUAAUUAGCACAUGCAUUGCCUCACAUAUCAUAGAGGGAUGCAAAAAGAAGCACAAAUUUUUCAAAUAUUAGAGACAUAUCAUUGUUGGUUCUCAGUUGCUUUCCCCAACACAUGGUGAUAGGGAAGGGUGUAGGGCACCUUUGAUGAGAUCACAGGUGUGGACUAAGAGGGGCUUGUGUGGCUUGGAGGGGCCUACCCUGGGCUUCCUUGUGUUACCUGUGGAUGCCCCUUGCCAAUUGGCCAGAGGCAUCUGAGGUGAGAAAUAAGCCCAUGUUGGCAUCCUUGGCAUCCUUCAGGAAGACCUGAAGUGAGAGCCUUGGAAAGUCAGGAUCCAACAGGAGGACAUUUUGCUCUCUUGAGCAUUUGCUGUCAAGGAUUGCAGAUAUUCUCUGCAAAUGGAAAAUUCACCAAAGAAAUUGCAACAAUUCAGCAUUUUGUCAUUUGCCUCUGCCUGCCAUCUGCCUUCACAUUCCAAGCCUAAUUUUUACCCGUUAAUAUAGUCUAUGGCACAAAAUUAGAGAUAAACAUUGUGAAGAAAAAAAUGUAAAGAUGGCUAUCUUUAUAUAGUGUUAAUUUUUUGUUUAAUUGGAA
RNAcentral lists this long non-coding RNA (727 nucleotides) under Pan paniscus (pygmy chimpanzee). Its description in RNAcentral is "lncRNA (ENSPPAG00000044937.1)". Lineage: Eukaryota; Metazoa; Chordata; Mammalia; Primates; Hominidae. The record is from RNAcentral.